ACAGGGAUUGCCCUAGUAACGGCGAGUGAAGCGGCAACAGCUCAAAUUUGAAAUCUGGCUCUUUUAGAGUCCGAGUUGUAAUUUGCAGAGGGCGCUUUGGCUUUGGCAGCGGUCCAAGUUCCUUGGAACAGGACGUCACAGAGGGUGAGAAUCCCGUACGUGGUCGCUGGCUAUUGCCGUGUAAAGCCCCUUCGACGAGUCGAGUUGUUUGGGAAUGCAGCUCUAAAUGGGAGGUACAUUUCUUCUAAAGCUAAAUAUUGGCCAGAGACCGAUAGCGCACAAGUAGAGUGAUCGAAAGAUGAAAAGCACUUUGGAAAGAGAGUCAAACAGCACGUGAAAUUGUUGAAAGGGAAGCGCUUGCAGCCAGACUUGCUUACAGUUGCUCAUCCGGGU
This 393-nucleotide ribosomal RNA is filed under the name Alternaria alternata. RNAcentral's name for it is "eukaryotic LSU rRNA". It matches the Rfam family "Eukaryotic large subunit ribosomal RNA", at positions 68 to 458 of the family's 3401-position model. Lineage: Eukaryota; Fungi; Ascomycota; Dothideomycetes; Pleosporales; Pleosporaceae. The record is from RNAcentral.